UUGACUCCCCUCUUGCAGGGUUUGACACUCAAUUAACAUCAGAGAUAAUCACCAGGGGCCUCAUUUUCCAAGGUGAUGAGCUCACUCAGCUCCACCUGGUGUCACUGCAGUCCAGCUGCCCAUCUUCACAGGAAGGAAGGCAAUGGGCCUUGAUGGGCUCCAGGAAGGCAACUAGCUCAAGUCACCUUGACUCAGUUUUCCUCCACACCUCUUCCUGGGAUACACUUCCCAAAGGCUAUCCAUGGAGUAUCAUGUACUCCAUUGUGCUACAGCCUAGAAAGGCAGGACCAGAAGGGGUUUUCUGAUCAGAGGAACCAGUUUUCUGCUAUUGCAGGUGCAAAUGCAAGUGGAAUGGAAGUCCCCAAUGUACUAAAAAGGUUUUGUAAGCACAUGACCCUGCAUUGUGUACCACUACAUUCUAUUCAAUUCCUAUUACACCAACCCCUUCUUCCCAUCUUCCUCUGAUAAUUCCCCUUAAUCAUUAGCAAAUGUCACUAGCAUGCUUCUGUCUUUUCCAAAUGGCACUAACUGGAACUAAGAUGAGUAUUGUCCAAAAGAACCCUGACUACAAACUAUCUUUCAGCCUGACAGUUCCCUUUGCAGCAUGCAGCCUGACAGUCCCCAUUAGCCAGCCCUGUAAUCGCAUUUUUGUCUAGUCAGAAUCCAUUUUCCAGCAGAACUAUCAAUUUCCUUU
Pezoporus flaviventris is the source of this 694-nucleotide long non-coding RNA. RefSeq lists it as uncharacterized. NCBI's taxonomy places the organism in Eukaryota, Metazoa, Chordata, Aves, Psittaciformes, Psittacidae. The transcript is spliced from 4 exons. The record is from RefSeq and is a predicted model, not a curated record.